This 135-nucleotide small RNA is filed under the name Mytilus galloprovincialis (Mediterranean mussel). Lineage: Eukaryota; Metazoa; Mollusca; Bivalvia; Mytilida; Mytilidae. The record is from RNAcentral.
GCCUACAAUUUGUAUGCAGUGGAUUUUCAGGGUUUUGUCUGAUAUGUAGAAUAAUCCAUAAACGAUCGGUAGGUGUUUGUAACACUCAGGAAGCAACAAAACCCUGAAAAUCCACUGCAUACAAAUUGUAGGCUU